RNAcentral lists this ribosomal RNA (102 nucleotides) under uncultured bacterium. RNAcentral describes it as "partial 16S ribosomal RNA". The record is from RNAcentral.
UGACGGCCCUAUGGGUUGUAAACUUCUUUUUUACGGGACGAAACUGAGCUACGUGUAGCCUACUGACGGUACCGUAUGAAUAAGCAACGGCUAACUCCGUGC